GCAAAGUCAGCAUCAAUCUGCUGAUCCCAGGCCGCAUCUUCGCGUUGGCGAAUGAACGCGGCCAGUUCGGUCAGUUCGCCGACCGAAAGGGCUCCGACCGCUUCUUUGAUUUCAGCGAGGCUCACGGUUUUAGAUUAGGCAAAGCCGGUCCGUGUGACAAGGGGAGGGAAAUCGGAAGUCGGAAGGCGUAGUCCCGCGGCCGCGGAACGAAGGCUGGAGGUCAGACGCGGUAAAUCUCGCGGCGGUGGCCGACACCGAGGAGGUGAAUGGUGUUUUGAUCAACAUCCA
Molecule: unclassified non-coding RNA, 288 nt
Filed under: uncultured bacterium
Lineage: Bacteria
Description: contains 16S-23S intergenic spacer region
Source: RNAcentral